AAAUGGGAAGACGUGAUGCGGAGUGAAGUUUAGUAAUGAAGUCCGUGAGCUGUGCGUCAAGAAAAGCCGCUAUUGUUCAUACCAUACCCGUACCGUAAACCGACACAGGUGGAUGAGGAGAGAAUCCUAAGGCCGGCGGAAGAAGCAUUGUCAAGGAACUCGGCAAAAUGACCCCGUAACUUCGGGAGAAGGGGUGCCUGCGAGAGCAGGCCGCAGAGAAUAGGCUCAAGCAACUGUUUAGCAAAAACACAGGUCUAUGCGAAACCGAAAGGUGAGGUAUAUGGGCUGACGCCUGCCCGGUGCUGGAAGGUUAAGAGGAGAGGUUAGCGGUAACGCGAAGCUUUGAAUUUAAGCCCCAGUAAAACGGCGGCCGUAACGAUAACGGUCCUAAGGUAGCGAAAUUCCUUGUCGGGUAAGUUCCGACCCGCACGAAAGGCGUAAUGAUUUGAGCGCUGUCUCGACAAUGCAUCCGGUGAAAUUGAAGUACCAGUGAAGAUGCUGGUUACCUGCGCCAGGACGGAAAGACCCCAUGGAGCUUUACUCCAGUUUGGUACUGGGAUCCGGUACUGCAUGUACAGGAUAGGUGGGAGGCUAUGAAUCGGUAACGCCAGUUGCCGAGGAGCCGCUGUUGGGAUACCACCCUUGCAGUAUUGGGUUUCUAACCAGCCGCCGUGACCCGGCGGUGGGACAAUGCCAGACGGGGAGUUUGACUGGGGCGGUCGCCUCCGAGAGGGUAUCGGAGGCGCCCAAAGGUUCCCUCAGGAUGGACGGAAACCAUCCAAAGAGUGCAAAGGCAGAAGGGAGCUUGACUGCGACACCGACGGGUGGAGCAGGUACGAAAGUAGGGCUUAGUGAUCCGGUGGUAUUAAGUGGGAAUGCCAUCGUUCAACGGAUAAAAGCUACCCUGGGAUAACAGGCUUAUCACUCCCAAGAGUUCACGUCGACGGAGUGGUUUGGCACCUUGAUGUCGGCUCAUCGCAUCCUGGGGCUGUAGUAGGUCCCAAGGGUUGGGCUGUUCGCCCAUUAAAGCGGUACGCGAGCUGGGUUCAGAACGUCGUGAGACAGUUCGGUCCCUAUCCGGCGUGGGCGUAGGAUAUCUGAGAGGAGCUGUCCUUAGUACGAGAGGACCGGGAUGGACGGGCCGCUGGUGCACCGGUUAGACUGCCAAGUCUAUAGCCGGGUAGCCAAGCCCGGAAGGGAUAAACGCUGAAGGCAUCUAAGCGUGAAGCCCCCCUCAAGAUGAGAUAUCCCAUCCGAAAGGAGUAAACCCCCUUGAAGACGACGAGGUUGAUAGGGCAGAGGUGGAAGUGUGGUAACACAUGGAGCUGACUGCUACUAAUAGGGUGAGGGCUUGAC
This 1356-nucleotide ribosomal RNA is filed under the name metagenome. Its description in RNAcentral is "bacterial LSU rRNA". It matches the Rfam family "Bacterial large subunit ribosomal RNA", at positions 1551 to 2925 of the family's 2925-position model. The record is from RNAcentral.